Molecule: ribosomal RNA, 155 nt
Filed under: uncultured bacterium
Lineage: Bacteria
Description: partial 16S ribosomal RNA
Rfam family: Bacterial small subunit ribosomal RNA
Source: RNAcentral
UAUUGGUCAAUGGACGAAAGCCUGAACCAGCCAAGCCGCGUGCAGGAUGACGGCCCUAUGGGUGGAAAACUGCUUUUAUACGGGGAUAAAGUGAGGUACCGUGUUCCAUAUUUGCACCGGACCAGCCAUCGAAUAAGGACCGGCCUAAUUCCGUG